ACACGACUACAUUAGAUACCCGUGUAGUCCUAGCCGUAAACGAUACUCGCUAGGUGUCGGCCACGGUGCGACCGUUGUCGGUGCCGUAGGGAAGCCGUGAAGCGAGCCACCUGGGAAGUACGGCCGCAAGGCUGAACUUAAGGAAUUGGCGGGGGAGCNCAAAAACAACGGGUGGAGCUUGCGGUUUAAUUGGAUUCAACGCCGGAAAUCUUACCGGGACCGACAGCAACAUGAAGGCCAAGCUGAAGACUUUGCCGGAUUAGCUG
RNAcentral lists this ribosomal RNA (266 nucleotides) under uncultured archaeon. RNAcentral describes it as "partial 16S ribosomal RNA". It matches the Rfam family "Archaeal small subunit ribosomal RNA", at positions 719 to 982 of the family's 1478-position model. The record is from RNAcentral.